UAUUCGAACUGUGUACUGAAAAUUUAUUGUUAGUGAAGUUAUGACAGUUGAACGGUCAAAUAUUUGUAGAAAACAUUAUCGAUUAUAUUACGAAGUCAGUUGAUAAAAAAAUGAACGUUAUUAAUAAAGAUUGGUUAAAUGGGAUGAAAAUUAAACACAGAAAGAAUGUAUCUGAUCUUAAAGUAGGAGUUCAGUACAAGGUUUUGAGUUUGUACGUGAUGAGAUCAAAAUAUUCUAAUGAAACACCAGUGGCUGAGGUGAAGCUUGACGACGAACCAACAUUUCAAAUUUAUUUGCCAGCGAGGUUUUCAUUUACUCGAGAAGAUCUGGCAAAAGGAGUCGAUAAAGAUCUUAAGAUUGUAUCUAAUGGACGAAAAGAUCAAAGUUCGAGUUAUGACAUAAUGUUUAUAUGAAUUAUAUUUCAUUUGUUUAAUCGACACCUUAGAGUUUUCUCUAUUUCAAUAUCAUAAUCAUCAUUAUGUGUUAUUUGUGUGAUACUUGUGGAAUGAAGUUCAAUUUUUUGAAAUCAUUGAUACGUCAUGAGCAAACAGUACACAACAAAAUUUUAUAUGGCUGCAGUUUGUGUUCGAAAAAAUUUUCGAGAAAAGAUAAUUUCUCAAGACAUGUUCAGCAUACACACGGGUUAAUAGGAACUGAUAAAGUAUUGAAAAUGCGUUCUGUAAAUAUAGAAAAUGAAAUAAAAUCGGUCUGUGUGAAAAAUGUGGUUAAUUACGGUGACAGCACCUCGAAAAAU
Daktulosphaira vitifoliae (grape phylloxera) is the source of this 754-nucleotide long non-coding RNA. RefSeq lists it as uncharacterized. Lineage: Eukaryota; Metazoa; Arthropoda; Insecta; Hemiptera; Phylloxeridae. The record is from RefSeq and is a predicted model, not a curated record. The transcript has 3 exons.